AUUGAACGCUGGCGGCAGGCUUAACACAUGCAAGUCGAACGGUAACAGAGAAUAGCUUGCUAUUUUGCUGACGAGUGGCGGACGGGUGAGUAAUGCUUGGGAACUUGCCCUAACGUGGGGGACAACAGUUGGAAACGACUGCUAAUACCGCAUAAUGUCUUCGGACCAAAGGUGGCCUCUAUUUAUAAGCUAUCGCGUUAGGAUGGGCCCAAGUGGGAUUAGCUAGUUGGUGAGGUAAUGGCUCACCAAGGCGACGAUCCCUAGCUGGUCUUAGAGGAUGACCAGCCACACUGGAACUGAGACACGGUCCAGACUCCUACGGGAGGCAG
This 329-nucleotide ribosomal RNA is filed under the name uncultured Pseudomonadota bacterium. RNAcentral's name for it is "bacterial SSU rRNA". It matches the Rfam family "Bacterial small subunit ribosomal RNA", at positions 30 to 351 of the family's 1533-position model. The record is from RNAcentral. Lineage: Bacteria; Pseudomonadati; Pseudomonadota.